GCAGAUAUGGCGAAACUGGUAUACGCGCUAUCUUCAGACGGUAGUGGUUAUAAACCGUGUGGGUUCAAAUCCCACUAUCUGCACCA
Molecule: transfer RNA, 86 nt
Filed under: Anaeroplasmataceae bacterium
Lineage: Bacteria; Bacillati; Mycoplasmatota; Mollicutes; Anaeroplasmatales; Anaeroplasmataceae
Description: tRNA-Leu
Rfam family: tRNA
About the family: Transfer RNA (tRNA) molecules are approximately 80 nucleotides in length. Their secondary structure includes four short double-helical elements and three loops (D, anti-codon, and T loops).
Source: RNAcentral